GUAAACGCCCAGGCUCUUACCAGUGCCUUCUCUCCACACACCAAGCCUUGGAUUGGUCUGGCUGAAGCUCUGGGGGCACUGAUGCAAGCCUGGGCUGGGUCCCCCAAAGGGACCAUCCAGGUGGUAACACAGGGAACGUCCCUGAAGAAUUCUGGGACCUGCCUGAGCCCCGCUGUCAUUGUCGGCCUCCUGAAGGAAGCUUCCCAUCGGGCGGACGUGAACUUGGUGAACGCCAAGCUGCUGGAGAAAGAGGCUGGCCUCCAUGUAACCACCUCCCACAACCCUGCUGCUCCGGAGGAGCAGGGCGGUGCGGAAUGCCUCCUGACCGUGGCCCUGGCAGGUGCCCCCUAUCAGGCCGUGGGCUUGGUCCAGGGCACUGCACCCAUGCUGCACGCACUCAACGGAGCUGUCUUCAGACCAGAAGUGCCUCUGCGCCGAGGCCUGCCCCUGCUCCUGUUCCGGGCUCAGCCCUCCAACCCUACCAUGCUGCCGACCAUGAUUGG
This 503-nucleotide long non-coding RNA is filed under the name Sus scrofa (pig). RNAcentral's name for it is "lncRNA (ENSSSCG00030070225.1, ENSSSCG00050060488.1)". The record is from RNAcentral. Lineage: Eukaryota; Metazoa; Chordata; Mammalia; Artiodactyla; Suidae.